This 570-nucleotide long non-coding RNA is filed under the name Cicer arietinum (chickpea). RNAcentral's name for it is "long non-coding RNA (CARI_LNC000115)". The record is from RNAcentral. Lineage: Eukaryota; Viridiplantae; Streptophyta; Magnoliopsida; Fabales; Fabaceae.
CCACUCAUGCUCAAGAAUUAGUUAGUGUAGUCAUGCUAGCUGCAAAUUCACUAUAACAAAUAAAUAAAAACGAAUGACCGAUGUGAACACUAUACUAAUAUUAUCUCAAAACUAUAUAUUUUCACUAUCUAUCUUUUUCAUCAAAUUUUCUUCUCUUUCUUAUUUUUAUCUGUCUUCAAAUUUAUUUCUCUCUUCCAUUUGCCACACUUAUGAAACCCUCUUUUGUCUUAUCCUAUAUAUGCGGUGCAAAUGCAAGGGGAAGAAAGUUUAAUUUCAUGCAUGACACAUUCUCCGAAUGAUGAUAGCUAUUUUAAGAAAGAAAAACCUCCACAUGCAUCAGAAUAAAAUGUCUAUGAACAACAAAUGUAUCACCCCAACCAGCUAUCUACUCCACCGAUAUAGUAUUGAAUGAACCAAACAUAAGCAUGCAUAUUACAAAAAGCAUUCUCUUUAGCCUAACCAUAAAGUAGAUCUAAAAGAAAUCCAAUCUAUAAAAGUUGAUAGUACGGUUAAUAUGUCUAAUUUUAUAUAAUAAAAUAACAAAAUUAUCCUUUAUAUAUAAAUAUAUUU